CCAAUAGCGUAUAUUAAAGUUGUUGCAGUUAAAAAGCUCGUAGUUGAAUUUCGGGGUCUGUCCGUCGGUCGGGCCUCACGGUCCGUACUGGUGUGAUGGGUUCCUACCUUCUGAAUAACCGGCAUGCCAUUCAGUUGGUGCGCCGGGGAAGCAGAGCUAUUACCUUGAAAAAAUUAGAGUGCUUAAAGCAGGCUAGUGCUUGAAUAGAUUAGCAUGGAAUAAUAAAAUAGGACGGCAUGGUUCUAUUUUGUUGGUUUCUAGGAUCACCGUAAUGAUUAAUAGGGAUAGUUGGGGGCAUUAGUAUUCAAUUGUCAGAGGUGAAAUUCUUGGAUUUAUUGAAGACUAACUUCUGCGAAAGCAUUUGCCAAGGAUGUUUUCAUUAAUCAAGAACGAAAGUUAGGGGAUCGAAGACGAUCAGAUACCGUCGUAAUCUUAACCAUAAACUAUGCCGACUAGGGAUCGGGCGAUGUUAAUUUUUUAAUGACUCGUUCGGCGCCUUACG
This 502-nucleotide ribosomal RNA is filed under the name uncultured Glomeromycotina. Its description in RNAcentral is "partial small subunit ribosomal RNA". It matches the Rfam family "Eukaryotic small subunit ribosomal RNA", at positions 591 to 1092 of the family's 1831-position model. The record is from RNAcentral. Lineage: Eukaryota; Fungi; Glomeromycota.